Small nuclear RNA from Mastomys coucha (southern multimammate mouse), 107 nucleotides. Lineage: Eukaryota; Metazoa; Chordata; Mammalia; Rodentia; Muridae. The record is from RefSeq and is a predicted model, not a curated record.
GUACUCCCUUCGGCAGCCCAUAUUUUAAAAUUGGAACCUUUCAGAGAGGGUUAGCAUGUCCCCUAAGUAAAGAUUACAUACAAAUUGAAGAAUUUUUCCAAAUUUAG